Molecule: non-coding RNA, 21 nt
Filed under: Caenorhabditis elegans
Lineage: Eukaryota; Metazoa; Nematoda; Chromadorea; Rhabditida; Rhabditidae
Source: RNAcentral
UCAAGUGAAUUCGAUUCGCAG